UCUCAAUAGAUGCAGAGAAAGCAUUUGACAAAAUACAGCAUUCUUUCUUGAUGAAAACCCUCAAGAAAUUAGGGAAAGAAGAAUCAUACCUCGAAAACAUAAGAGCCAUAAAUGAGCA
Molecule: long non-coding RNA, 118 nt
Organism: Lynx canadensis (Canada lynx)
Lineage: Eukaryota; Metazoa; Chordata; Mammalia; Carnivora; Felidae
Exons: 3
Source: RefSeq, a predicted model, not a curated record